CUCGCCUCUGAAGCUAAGAAACACAUCAUACUUUCGAUUACGAGAUGCAGAAGAAGAUUCCAUAAUAUGAAAUCAGGAAAGGCUCAAUCCUCUCCUUGAAGAAUAGAACCUUGAUUUACGGUGAAAAGGUAGGAAAGACAACAAAUUUUUUGCUUCGAUCAGCUAAUAGUGCAAACAGGGAAGAGAAUAAGAGCAUUCGUCAAUCCAAUUCGUGGGCAGUAGCGGCCUCUAGCAUCUCUAGUGAAAUCUUAUUACCUGAGAGAGCACUUCCGAUUUUCUGUAAGACUAUGCUUGUGAAAGAAUUUUCAAAUGCAA
This 315-nucleotide unclassified non-coding RNA is filed under the name Hevea brasiliensis (rubber tree). The record is from RNAcentral. Lineage: Eukaryota; Viridiplantae; Streptophyta; Magnoliopsida; Malpighiales; Euphorbiaceae.